This 1850-nucleotide long non-coding RNA is filed under the name Macaca fascicularis (crab-eating macaque). Its description in RNAcentral is "lncRNA (ENSMFAG00000047772.1)". Lineage: Eukaryota; Metazoa; Chordata; Mammalia; Primates; Cercopithecidae. The record is from RNAcentral.
AUGUACUAAGAAGAUGAGUAAAAUCUUUGACACCAGAAUUGGACAGAUCAGGAAACAAUUUUUCUCAAGUUAUUUGGGAUCUUACUGGUUGGUAUUUGAGAAACAUAAUAAAUCCAGGAGGUACGAGGACAAUUCUUCCCACAACUCACACCCCUUAACCCAUACUUCUUCCCAGAGAAGGGAGCACAGGAGAAACAGGAGUGUUGAUGAGUGCCAGCUUAUAAAUAUCAAUACAAACAGACACACCUGGUAUGUCUAGCUGUUUUUGCCUUUACUCCAACCCAACGUGUUUCAUGGAAUACAAAGAUGGGGCUUCUACCCCAGCUCUCUUCUGAUUAGUAAGAAAAAAAAAAAAAUGAUAGGGCCUGGAGAAUUCAAGGAAGCCCGUUUCAAGCACUAAUAAAAUUGUAGCUGGAUUCCUUACCUCUUAUCCAACAUGAUUUCAAAAGCAAGAAAGUUGCCUUUCAUCUUGCCCCUACCAAAUCCAAAAAAGCAAAUUAUGGCCUAUUUCCUAAUCUAUUUAUUCUUAUUGUUGUUGUUACACUUGAACUUUCUGUUUGGAACCUCAUCUAUUUCUAAAAGGAAAGUCUGUAUAACUGUCAAGUGCAAAGUCCAAUUGCAGGAAUACUAAAUGUCCCAAGCUCACUUUAGAAAGUACAUGGGACAAUAAUAUAGUAUAAAAGAGAUCACAGAAACAAGGGGGAAAUAUAUAUUAGAGACCUCCAAAAAAAUUAUCUGAAAGGAGAAUACUUUAGCUGCUGUACUACCAGUUAUUUCUCUCUUAUGUCACCCAGGAAAGAGGUGGGGGAGAAUGGUGUUAAAAAUACAAAUAGUUUGGGAGGCCGAAGCGGGUGGAUCACGAGGUCAGGAGAUCGAGACCAUCCUGGCUAACACAGUGAAACCCCGUCUCUACUAAAAAUACAAAAAAUUAGCUGGGCGCUUGUAGUCCCAGCUACUCAGGAGGCUGAGACAGGAGAAUGGCGUGAACCUGGGAGGCGGAGGUUGCAGUGAGCCAAGAUCCGCCACUGCACUCCAGCCUUGGCGACAGAGUGAGACUCCGUCUCAAAAAACACCACCACCACCCACAAAUAGGCCAGGCGCGGUGGCUCACGCCUGUAAUCCCAGCACUUUGGGAGGCUGAGGCGGGUAGAUUACCUGAUGUCAGGAGUUCACGAACAGCCUGGCCAACAUGGUGAAACCCCGUCUCUACUAAGAAUACAGAAAUUAGCCAGGCGUGGUGGCGUGUGCCUGUAAUCCCAGCUACUGGGGAGGCUGAGGCAAGAGAAUCGCUUGAACCCUGGAGGCAGAGGUUGCAGUGAGUCGAGAUCGCCCCAUUGCACUCCAGCCUGGGCAACAGUGUGAGACUCCAUCUCCAAAAACCAAAAAAAACCACACACACACAAAUAACUGCAGUCUCCCAAGGUGUCAUUUAGGAAGUGCUAAAAACUAAAGUCUCAUUUAAUUUUCCUGAUCAACUCAUGUUCUAAUAAUUAAUGUGGAAGAAGAGAAAAGAAAGAGAAAACAAAUGAGAAUCUAAGGUAGUAAACAGCAGCAACUUAGCGGGAAUAAGGGGAACAUGGUUCUCACUAACCAGAUAGGACUGAUAAUGCUUCCAGAAAAUAAAAUAUUGGGUGAAAGGAAAUAUGGAAAUAUGUUUUACCUUCUACUAAUAGCUGCAGGCAGGAAGUUCUAAACGCAGGGUUUAACGAAGCUGGGUGAGCAGGGGACAUGUGCAGAGGGAAUAGUGAAAGAUAAUCAGUUUCAACCAUAACCCCCAUCUACUGUAGAGUAUAUCCAGAAAUCUAGACUACUAGUAUGGUAUACAUAUGCCCUAGAAGCAACUUAGGUAG